Molecule: long non-coding RNA, 1378 nt
Organism: Bombyx mori (domestic silkworm)
Lineage: Eukaryota; Metazoa; Arthropoda; Insecta; Lepidoptera; Bombycidae
Exons: 2
Source: RefSeq, a predicted model, not a curated record
UGUAUUUUGUUUGUGACCAUGUUUUUUUUUGUUUGUAAAAUCGAAUUUAUCAUCUUUCUAUUUAUUCCAUUUCAUAUUUUUAUGUCAGAAUUUGAUUUACUUUGAUGUAGUCGUGUAGCAUAUAGAAUAUUAAUAAGGUUUACACGACCUUCUGUUUCUAUUUUUCUCAAAAAAAUCUUUUCCCCUGACAAACGGAAAUUAUACGUUUGAAUUUCAAAUAUGUAUUUUGCUGUUUGAUGUUUAUCUUCUACGCUAUUGAAUAAUCUGAGAUAGAACAAGAUAUUAGAUACUUUACUUUACAAUUUACUUGCUUUCAAAAUACGAACCUACUUAAACUCAAGUUCAUUAGAACCUCUUCGAUUUUAUUAGCAAUAUCCUCUAUACUCUAUUCCAAUUACGAAGUCUCAUGAGACAGAUGUUAUUAUUAUGUUAAUGUGUGUGUGAAUUAAUUGUGUAAUGAUUUAGAUUGAUUGUGUAUUUUUUAAAAGAUGUUUACGGCCAUGAACAAAAAAUGAUUGCUAUUUAAAAUUUUGCGAAAUGUGAAGAGUUACGUUCUAAGAAAUGUCACAAGGGACUUCGUAAUUGGAAUAGUGUAUAGUGCACAUAAACAUAUAAUAAAAGAGAAGUUUCUUCAAUCUCUGAAUAUUUGACACAUCGUAACCACUACAAAUAGAAGUGAAAGAAGAUUUUGUUUUCGACAUCUUAUUCUUAAAGUAAAUAAAUACUGCUCGAAUUAUUCGCAAUGUCGUGAAGUAAAUUAUGUCGAAAUGUAAAUUGUGAGUGAAGCUUGUUCAUCGUGUUCGAAAAUUUUGUUACUCUGUAAUUGUUUUACAACUACGUGUAAUCCGAGAGACGAUUAGAUCAGACGAUGUGAUGUGUGAGCGAAAUAAUUAUACAUUCCGCGGAAUGUGACGUGUCUCGAAGGAAUCCCAUUACGUGAUUUCAGAUUUCAUACGAUUGACAUUUAUACUCCGUCUAGUAAUUUGAAGUGCAUACAAGUUUCCGAGCUAUUAGCAUCAACGUACAGUAGAAGGCGUAUUAAUUGUUUUAAUAACUAAUAAGUUUUAUUUUAUUCAGUUAAUCGAUGACAAUAGAAGCUAGGCCCGUUAUUAUAGUAAUAUAAAAUAUUACUUAAUAUAGUUCGGAUUCAGCUGGAUUAAGUGGUUUCUCAAGUAGUAUUUUAUGUAAAUAUUUGAUACGGCAACGUUUGUAAACUACUCUCAAUAGGCUCGUAACGGAAUAGGAGUUUCCUCGCGAACAAGAAAAUAUUAAAACGAUUACAUAUUCAGAACGUUUACUCAUAGAUUAUGAAAAAAUGACUGCGGAUGUCUUAUUAAAAUUCCAGGCCAUAACUCGACAAGAUUGAAGUUCUCAAGUU